GCCUGGCGUGCUGAAGUCCAUGGGGUCACAGUCGGACGUGACUGAAUGACUGAACUAAAUCAAUAAACAAAGCUGACCUAAGUAGAGGGGCUCAGGAAAGUCUACUUCAUACGGUUCAUUUUCAAGGUGAGAGUGAAGCUUAAGAGUCAGCUAUUUGGACGAAGCUGGUGGAGUUACUAGAUGAAGAGUGACAGUGCAUUACAAGCCCAGAUUUUACAUGUCAUAUGAUGGAAAGAAUUCCAAAAUGGGAAAGUGGUUUUCUUCAUGUCAAAUGUAAUAAACCCAAACCAGAGAAAAGUCCCCAAGAAGAAAAGAGAGUGGACAAAGCAGAUAACUAAUGAAGAAUAAGUACUUCAACCCUCCAAAUAUAAGGAGAGACCCGGAGCAGGCACAGAACUGGGAUGCAGCCAUUGGAUAAAUCAGGCUUCUGACUCUCAUACCUGUUUUCAGGCUAGUAUCUAUGCUUGGA
This 469-nucleotide long non-coding RNA is filed under the name Capra hircus (goat). RNAcentral's name for it is "lncRNA (ENSCHIG00000004068.1)". Lineage: Eukaryota; Metazoa; Chordata; Mammalia; Artiodactyla; Bovidae. The record is from RNAcentral.